Molecule: ribosomal RNA, 807 nt
Filed under: Microdochium lycopodinum
Lineage: Eukaryota; Fungi; Ascomycota; Sordariomycetes; Xylariales; Microdochiaceae
Description: LSU rRNA
Rfam family: Eukaryotic large subunit ribosomal RNA
Source: RNAcentral
CCUAGUAACGGCGAGUGAAGCGGCAACAGCUCAAAUUUGAAAUCUGGCCUUCUGGUCCGAAUUGUAAUUUGUAGAGGAUGACUUUGGUUAGGUACCUUCCGAGUUCCUUGGAACAGGACGCCUUAGAGGGUGAGAGCCCCGUACGGUUGGAUGCCGAUCCUUUGUAAGUCUCCUUCGACGAGUCGAGUAGUUUGGGAAUGCUGCUCUAAAUGGGAGGUAAAUUUCUUCUAAAGCUAAAUACCGGCCAGAGACCGAUAGCGCACAAGUAGAGUGAUCGAAAGAUGAAAAGCACUUUGAAAAGAGGGUUAAAUAGUACGUGAAAUUGUUGAAAGGGAAGGGUUUAUGACCAGACCUUUGCGUUGGGAAUCAUCCGGUGUUCUCACCGGUGCACUUCCCUUCGUUGAGGCCAGCAUCAGUUCUAGUUGGGGGAUAAAGACAUUAGGAAUGUGAUUCCUCCGGGAAUGUUAUAGCCUUUUGUGUAAUACCCUGACCGGGACUGAGGACCGCGCUUCGGCUAGGAUGCUGGCAUAAUGGUCAUCAGCCACCCGUCUUGAAACACGGACCAAGGAGUCGAACAUUUAUGCGAGUGUUUGGGUGUUAAACCCUCACGCGUAAUGAAAGUGAACGGAGGUGAGAGCCCUUACGGGUGCAUCAUCGACCGAUCCUGAUGUCUUCGGAUGGAUUUGAGUAAGAGCAUAACUGUUCGGACCCGAAAGAUGGUGAACUAUGCGUGGAUAGGGUGAAGCCAGAGGAAACUCUGGUGGAGGCUCGCAGCGGUUCUGACGUGCAAAUCGAUCGUCAAAUCUG